This 403-nucleotide ribosomal RNA is filed under the name bacterium. RNAcentral's name for it is "partial 16S ribosomal RNA". It matches the Rfam family "Bacterial small subunit ribosomal RNA", at positions 355 to 776 of the family's 1533-position model. The record is from RNAcentral.
UGGGGAAUAUUGCACAAUGGGGGAAACCCUGAUGCAGCGACGCCGCGUGAACGAAGAAGGUAUUCGUAUCGUAAAGUUCUGUCCUAUGGGAAGAUAAUGACAGUACCAUAGAAGAAAGCUCCGGCUAAAUACGUGCCAGCAGCCGCGGUAAUACGUAUGGAGCGAGCGUUGUCCGGAAUUAUUGGGCGUAAAGGGUACGCAGGCGGUUUAAUAAGUCGAAUGUUAAAGAUCGGGGCUCAACCCCGCAAAGCAUUGGAAACUGAUAAACUUGAGUAGUGGAGAGGAAAGUGGAAUUCCUAGUGUAGUGGGGAAAUACGUAGGUAUUAGGAGGAAUACCAGUAGCGAAGGCGACUUUCUGGACACAAACUGACGCUGAGGUACGAAAGCGUGGGGAGCAAACAGG